ACUGUAGGUUGAAUGGGUGGAGCUUAAAUACUGUAGGUUGAAUGGGUGGAGCUGAAAUACUGUAUGAUAAUUGGGUGGAGCUGAAAUACUGUAGGUUGACUGGGUGGAGCUGAAAUACUGUAUGUUGACUGGGUGGAGCUUAAAUACUGUAGGUUGACUGGGUGGAGCUGAAAUACUGUAUGUUGACUGGGUGGAGCUUAAAUACUGUAGGUUGACUGGGUGGAGCUGAAAUACUGUAUGUUGACUGGGUGGAGCUUAAAUACUGUAGGUUGACUGGGUGGAGCUGAAAUACUGUAUGUUGACUGGGUGGAGCUUAAAUACUGUAGGUUGAAUGGGUGGAGCUGAAAUACUGUAUGAUAAUUGGGUGGAGCUGAAAUACUGUAGGUUGAAUGGGUGGAGCUUAAAUACUGUAGGUUGAAUGGGUGGAGCUGAAAUACUGUAUGAUAAUUGGGUGGAGCUGAAAUACUGUAGGUUGAAUGGGUGGAGCUGAAAUACUGUAUGAUAAUUGGGUGGAGCUGAAAUACUGUAUGAUAAUUGGGUGGAGCUGAAAUACUGUAGGUUGAAUGGGUGGAGCUUAAAUACUGUAGGUUGAAUGGGUGGAGCUGAAAUACUGUACAUUGAAUGGGUGGAGCUGAAAUACUGUAUAAUGAAUAGGUGGAGGUGAAAUGCUGUAUGAUAAAUUUGUGGAGCUGAAAUACUGUACAUUGAAUGGGUGGAGCUGAAAUACUGUAUAAUGAAUAGGUGGAGCUGAAAUACUG
Molecule: long non-coding RNA, 758 nt
Organism: Astyanax mexicanus (Mexican tetra)
Lineage: Eukaryota; Metazoa; Chordata; Actinopteri; Characiformes; Acestrorhamphidae
Exons: 4
Source: RefSeq, a predicted model, not a curated record